Molecule: ribosomal RNA, 542 nt
Filed under: uncultured Gammaproteobacteria bacterium
Lineage: Bacteria; Pseudomonadati; Pseudomonadota; Gammaproteobacteria
Description: bacterial SSU rRNA
Rfam family: Bacterial small subunit ribosomal RNA
Source: RNAcentral
CUUCGGUGUGAGUAGAGCGGCGGACGGGUGAGUAAUGCUUGGGAAUCUACCUAGUAGUGGGGGAUAACGUGUGGAAACGCACGCUAAUACCGCGUACGUCCUACGGGAGAAAGCAGGGGACCUUCGGGCCUUGCGCUAUUAGAUGAGCCCAAGUCGGAUUAGCUAGUUGGUAGGGUAAUGGCUUACCAAGGCGACGAUCCGUAGCUGGUCUGAGAGGAUGAUCAGCCACACUGGGACUGAGACACGGCCCAGACUCCUACGGGAGGCAGCAGUGGGGAAUAUUGCACAAUGGGCGAAAGCCUGAUGCAGCCAUGCCGCGUGUGUGAAGAAGGCUCUAGGGUUGUAAAGCACUUUCAGUAGGGAGGAAAAGUAUGUAGUUAAUAGCUGCAUACCCUGACGUUACCUACAGAAGAAGCACCGGCAAACUCCGUGCCAGCAGCCGCGGUAAUACGGAGGGUGCGAGCGUUAAUCGGAAUUACUGGGCGUAAAGCGCGCGUAGGUGGUUUGAUAAGCUAGCUGUGAAAGCCCUGGGCUCAACCUAG